AGAGCUCCCUCAGGUCCAGACGGACAGCUCCCAGGAAGGGACACCUUGUCUCCAGGAGGCUGCGGAACAAAGCACGGCAGUCCUGACAGACAGAAACGGGACCCCAAUCUUCCCACUGCCAUCCUUGGACCAAGAAUCGCAGGCAUCACAGUUCCCAAAAAGGGCUCUUUCCUGGCCCACGGGGCUCCAUACUGCAUGCAGGCCACCAGCUUCCUGCACACAGGCCAGGCUCCCGCAAGCUCUCUGGAGACCCACUCUUCACAGUGACCCCUGCGCACGGCGCCCUGCUGUCCCCCUACUGAUGCAGGGGAGGAAGCUGCAAGGAUGCAUUCCCUUUCCAUGGCCACAUGCCCGGACAGGCCUGGGCAGCCUGGCUCUUCUCGCGCUUGGCCACUUCAUGCCACUGCCGCCACCUCCAACUGCCCCGGCCCUGAGCUGAGCCACACCGCCCUGCUCCCUCAAGCCUGUGGUCAGCAUCACGCAUCAUACCUUCCCUCGGUCAAACUCUUCAUCCCAGUCAUCAACCACGGUCUCAGUCUGGGCCAGUCUGCUGUCUUCAAUAGCAUCCUGACUGACCGCCGACAUCUUGCCAUCCCAGGUCAGAACUACCGGGCAGACACAGGGCUCAGCAUGAGUGCAGGUUCCCAGGUACCCUGUGGCUUCACCUCAAGAGUCAUUUACCAACUAGUCUACCCAUAAUUAGUCACCAAUUUUGAGUGCCACCUCGUGGUGAACAGAAGGACAAGAGGAGGACGGCUCGACGUCCGAGUGUGGUCGGUCAGCACGGAACCCCCAACACCACCCUCUUAGCUAAACGCUAAACCAUGGCCACAGACUUCAGUUCUCUCUAAACCCAUGCCCUCGUCUGAGAAACAAAGAUGUCAUGUUUGGCCUCGAAGUCUGAAUAAAAACAUGCUCUGAGUAAGAAGUGACAUUA
Piliocolobus tephrosceles (Ugandan red Colobus) is the source of this 937-nucleotide long non-coding RNA. RefSeq lists it as uncharacterized. The record is from RefSeq and is a predicted model, not a curated record. The transcript is spliced from 2 exons. NCBI's taxonomy places the organism in Eukaryota, Metazoa, Chordata, Mammalia, Primates, Cercopithecidae.